AUACGGAGGGAGCAAGCGUUAUUCGGAAUCACUGGGCGUAAAGGACGCGUAGGCGGGUUUGUAAGUCAGGUGUGAAAUCCUACGGCUCAACUGUAGAACUGCACUUGAAACUACAGACCUAGAGUAUGGAAGGGGCAGAUGGAAUUAGUGGUGUAGGGGUAAAAUCCGUAGAUAUCACUAGGAAUACCGAAAGCGAAGGCGAUCUGCUGGGACAUUACUGACGCUGAGGCGUGAAAGCGUGGGGAGCAAACAGGAUUAGAAACCCGAGUAGUCC
This 274-nucleotide ribosomal RNA is filed under the name uncultured bacterium. Its description in RNAcentral is "partial 16S ribosomal RNA". It matches the Rfam family "Bacterial small subunit ribosomal RNA", at positions 523 to 796 of the family's 1533-position model. The record is from RNAcentral.